UACGGAGGAUGCAAGCGUUGUCCGGAUUUAUUGGGUUUAAAGGGUGCGUAGGCGGUCUUAUAAGUCAGUGGUUAAAUAACUUUGCUUAACAAGGGAGAUGCCAUUGAUACUGUUAGACUUGAAUACUGACUAGGUAGGCGGAAUUGGUAGUGUAGCGGUGAAAUGCUUAGAUAUUACCAGGAACACCGAUAGCGAAGGCAGCUUACUGGACAGUCAUUGACGCUGAGGCACGAAAGUGCGGGUAUCAAACAGG
Molecule: ribosomal RNA, 253 nt
Filed under: uncultured bacterium
Lineage: Bacteria
Description: partial 16S ribosomal RNA
Rfam family: Bacterial small subunit ribosomal RNA
Source: RNAcentral